This 227-nucleotide long non-coding RNA is filed under the name Mytilus galloprovincialis (Mediterranean mussel). The record is from RNAcentral. Lineage: Eukaryota; Metazoa; Mollusca; Bivalvia; Mytilida; Mytilidae.
CCCUGAAGGUGCGUCCGAUGUUGAGGGUUUUUAUUGAGUUCGUAUCACCAUCCUCACCAUCGUAAUGUCACCGAGAAUGCAUCUUUGCACAUCGUAUUGCAUUCGUGUUUCCAUCGUUUCCAUCGGGCAGUUUUGACAUUACGAUGUCUACACGAAUGAAUCACGAAGAUACCCGAAGGUCUUACGAUGGCAACACGACUUCGUGAAGACCUCGUAAUCCCGUCGUG